Molecule: ribosomal RNA, 2857 nt
Filed under: Calcidiscus leptoporus
Lineage: Eukaryota; Haptophyta; Coccolithales; Calcidiscaceae
Description: Bacterial large subunit ribosomal RNA
Rfam family: Bacterial large subunit ribosomal RNA
Source: RNAcentral
UCAAGCGAAUAAGAGCUUACGAUGGAUACCUUGGUGUUUAGAAGCGAUGAAGGGCGCGGCUACCGGCGAAAUGUUUCGGGGAACUGGAAGCAAGUUUUGAUCCGAAAAUACCCGAAUAAGGAAACUUCUUGAACUACUUCUUGAAUUCAUAAAGAAGAAAGAGCAAACCUAGUGAAUUGAAACAUCUUAGUAACUAGAGGAAAAGAAAGCAAAAGCGAUUCUCUGAGUAGCGGCGAGCGAAACGGGAUCAGUCUAAACUCUAUUUUUUAGAGGGUUGUGGGACAGCAGAAAUGAAAUGUAAUUUAUUAGGUGAAGCGGGUGGAAUACUGUGCCAAAGAAGGUGAAAGUCCUGUAAUCGAAAAUAUAAACAUUUUUAUGCUUUAUCCCAAGUAGGAAGGGACACGUGGAACCCCUUCUGAAUUUGCGAGGACCACCUCGUAAGACUAAAUAUUCCUAAACAACCGAUAGUGAAAUAGUACCGUGAGGGAAAGGUGAAAAGAACCCCGGGAGGGGAGUGAAAGAGAACAUGAAAUCGUAAGUUUACAAGCAGUAGAAGAGCGACUUAACGCUCGACUUCGUGCCUGUUGAAGAAUGAGCUGGCGACUUGUAGGUUAUGGCAAGGUUAAGAUAAGAGAAUAUCGAAGCCACAGUGAAAGCGAGCUUGAUAAGAGCUUUGAGUCAUUAUUUACAGACCCGAACCCGGAUGAUCUAACCAUGGCCAGUGUGAAGCUUAGGUAACACUAAGUGGAGGUACCAACCGACUGUUGUUGAAAAAACAGCGGAUGAGUUGUGGUUAGGGGUGAAAUUCCAAUCGAAUCCGGAGCUAGCUGGAUCUCCCCGAAAUGCGUUGAGGCGCAGCGGUUAAUGUUUCUUCUUAGGGGUAAAGCUACUGUUUUGGUGCGGGCUGCGAGAGCGGUACCAAAUCAAGGCAAACUCUGAAUACUAAGACGUUUAAUUAGCCAGUGAGACAUUGGGGGAUAAGCUUCAAUGUCAAAAGGGAAACAGCCCAGAUUACCAGCUAAGGCCCCUAAAUAAUUACUAAGUGAUAAAGGAGGUGGGAUUGCAUAGACAAUCAGGAGGUUUGCCCAGAAGCAGCAAUCCUUUAAAGAGUGCGUAAUAGCUCACUGUUCGAGUGAUCCUGCGCCGAAAAUGAAUGGGGCUAAGUAAUUUGCCGAAGCUGUAAGAUGUUAAAAUAUCGGUAGGGGAGCGUUCUACAUUAGUUUGAAGCGUUAGUGAAAACGGGCGUGGACGAAGUAGAAGUGAGAAUGUCAGCUUGAGUAGCGAAAACAUUGGUGAGAAUCCAAUGCCCCGAAAACCUAAGGGUUUCUCCGGAAGGCUCGUCCGCGGAGAGUGAGUCAGGGCCUAAGGUGAGGCUGAAAAGCGUAAUCGAUGGAUAACAGGUUAAUAUUCCUGUACUGUUUAUUGUUGGUGACGGGGGACGGAGAAGGCUAGGUCGACCGAAUGUUGGUUAUCGGCUUAAGUAUUCGAGGUGUUGAGGAUUGGCGAUAACAAUCUGAGCUGAGAUAUGAAUAGGAAAGUGUUAAGACACUGAACCGACUAACGUCAUACUUCCAAGAAAAGCCCGAAACACCACAAGCAAUAAAUACCUGUACCCUAAACCGACACAGGUGGGUAAGUAGAGAAUACUAAGGGGCGCGAGAUAACUCUCUCUAAGGAACUCGGCAAAAUGGCCUCGUAACUUCGGGAGAAGAGGUACCCGUUAUGGGUUGCAAGAACCAGACGCUGGCGACUGUUUAUCAAAAACACAGGUCUCCGCAAAGUCGUAAGACGAUAUAUGGGGGCUGACACCUGCCCAGUGCCGGAAGGUUAAGGAAGCUUGUUAGUCUUUGACAAAGCUCGCGACCGAAGCCCCGGUGAACGGCGGCCGUAACAAUAACGGUCCUAAGGUAGCGAAAUUCCUUGUCGGGUAAGUUCCGACCUGCACGAAUGGCGUAACGAUCUGGGAACUGUCUCAGCUUGAGACUCAGUGAAGUUGUAGUGUCGGUGAAGAUGCCGACUACCCGCAGCAAGACGGAAAGACCCCGUGAACCUUUACUGCAGCUAGAUAUUGAUCUUGGGUGUUGCAUGUGCAGGAUAGGUGGGAGACAUUGAACCACGCUCGUCAGGGUGUGGGGAGUCAAUGGUGAGAUACCACUCUUGUAACAUCGAAGAUCUAACCGCGGUCCCUGAUCGGGAUCCGGAACAGUGUCUGGUGGGUAGUUUGACUGGGGCGGUCGCCUCCUAAAGAGUAACGGAGGCUCCCAAAGGUACCCUCAGCACGGUUGGCAAUCGUGCGUAGAGUGUAAAAGCAUAAGGGUGCUUGACUGCGAGACAUACAGGUCGAGCAGGCACGAAAGUGGGGUUUAGUGAUCCGGUGGCACCGCAUGGAAGGGCCAUCGCUCAAAGGAUAAAAGGUACUCCGGGAUAACAGGCUGAUCUCCCCCAAGAGCUCACAUCGACGGGGAGGUUUGGCACCUCGAUGUCGGCUCGUCGCAUCCUGGGGCGGUAGUACGUCCCAAGGGUUGGGCUGUUCGCCCAUGAAAGCGGCACGCGAGCUGGGUUCAGAACGUCGUGAGACAGUUCGGUCCCUAUCUGUUGCGAGCGUAAGAAACUUGAGAAGAUCUGACUUUAGUACGAGAGGACCGAGUUGGACUAACCGCUGGUGUACCAGUUGUCUCGCCAGGGGCAUUGCUGGGUAGCUAUGUUGGGAAGGGAUAAGCGCUGAAAGCAUCUAAGCGCGAAACCCACUUCAAGAUGAGGUUUCUUUAAAGGGACGUUAUAGAUGAUGACGUUGAUAGGCUGCAGGUAUAUAGGUAGUAAUAUCAGAGCUGAGCAGUACUAAUUACCCGUAAGCUUU